Molecule: RNA transcript, 6048 nt
Organism: Mirounga angustirostris (Northern elephant seal)
Lineage: Eukaryota; Metazoa; Chordata; Mammalia; Carnivora; Phocidae
Gene name: vomeronasal type-1 receptor 1-like
Exons: 2
Source: RefSeq, a predicted model, not a curated record
GAGAGAUCUUCAGAAGAUCUAAGAGAUCUAACCUGUAUUGGUUUCAUGGGGAAUUCUUUGUUAUUUACAUUAUAUAUGUACACCUUCUUAAUUCAUCCUCAUAAGAAGAAGCCUGUAGAUGUGAUUCUUGCCCUCUUAACUUUGGCUAAUGCCCUGAUAUUCAUAUUCAGAGGGAUUCCAAAUAUAAUGUCAUCCUUUGGAAUUAGGCUGGAGAUGGGCGAUACUGGAUGUGGAAUAGUGAUCUAUAUUCAGAGAGUUACCUGGAGUAUUUCUCUGCAUAACUGCCCUCCGGAGUACAUUUCAGGCAGUGACUAUUACUCCAAAGUAAUCCUAAAUGGGCCUGUCUCAAACACAGAAUCUCUGCAUUCAUUCAACCCUCUUUACUUUGCUUCUGGAUGAUCCACAUGGCCCUCUAUUCUGUGGUCAUUUUACAAACUGUGGCCAACAGGAAUACCACUGGUGAUGGACUUGGGUGUUAUAGUGCUUAUUGUAAAAACAAGGCAUUUGAGGGGCGCCUGGGUGGCUCAGUCGUUAAGCGUCUGCCUUCGGCUCAGGUUAUGAUCCCAGGGUCCUGGGAUCAAGCCCCGCGUCGGGCUCCCUGCUCAGCGGGAAGCCUGCUUCUCCCUCUCCCACUCCCCCUGCUUGUGUUUCCUCUCUCGCUGUGUCUCUCUCUGUCAAAUAAAUAAAUAAAAUCUUAAAAAAAAAACAAAACAAAAAACAAGGCAUUUGAUAGCCAGAUAGUGCCAAUAUUUCUAAGUACAGUAUUCAUUCAAGAUUUGUUCUUUCUCUUCCUGAUGACAUGUAAUAGUAUCUACAUGGUGAAUAUCCUUUACGGACACCACAAAACAGCUCAGAAUGCUCACAGUGCCAUCCAGGUUCCAUCACACUCUCUUGAAAACAAAGCUACCCAUGUUAGCUAUUCUCAUACUAGUGAGCUGCUUUGUCUUCUUUUCUGGACCGACACCUUUCUUAGUGUUUAUUUAUUUUAUACAAGUAAGAAAAAGCAGCAACUGGAGAAAUUUAGUAACUUUUUUUCAUCAUGUUACCCAACCAUCUGUUCUUUCCUUCUAAUUAAAAAUGAAAAUAGAAUUUCCAGAAUAAAUUUCAUGAAAACAAGAAUCAGAAUUUUCUCUUCUUAAAGAAAAUUCACUGCUCAUAGGAACACUUCUUAGCAUUCUGCUACACCAAGGAGUCAUUUUUUUUAAAGAUUUUAUUUAUUUAUUUGAGAGAAAGAAUGAGAGAGAGAGCAUGAGAGGGGUGAGGGUCAGAGGGAGAAGCAGACUCCCCGCUGAGCAGGUAGCCCGAUGCGGGACUCGAUCCCGGGACUCCAGGAUCAUGACCUGAGCCGAAGGCAGUCGCUUAACCAACUGAGCCACCCAGGCGCCCACCAAGGAGUCAUUUGUAUGAAUAUAGAUAAUACGCGUAUCAACGACAUGAGUUAUAUUUAUAGUCCCCAUUGAACUAACAAUCCAAAGAGCUAUAAUCAAGUUAUUGUCAAUUUAUGAAACAUUUUAGACAUUAAAUGUAAGGUUUAGAUGAUGAUGUCAUGUAUAUGUUUUAAAAUUUUAUAAAUAACACAUAUGUAAUGUAGAAUGUUUUGUAACAUAGGAAACAGUAUUUGUCAUAUAAUUACAGAAAUCAUAAACCCCCCCAAAGGAUAGUGGUUACUUUUGGUGUAAGGUAACCCUAACCCUAAGCGAUGUGAUGAAAUAUGUGUGUUUAUUAAAUUGUGCUCUAUACUUUUGUAUGUCAGAAUUAUGUCAUACUGAGUUUCUAAAAAUAAACAGAAUUAUUAAUAUUUGAAAAUAAAUUCAGAAAUCAAAUUUGCAAUAAUUUUUUUACCUACAUUUAGAUAAAGAAGGAACACUAAAAAAUAAACAAGAUCUCAAAACACCUAGAAGAUUAUUGUCCUGAGAACUGUUGAACAUAUCAGUGACUUGAGGUUUGAAUUGAGGAUUGAAAGAAGAAGGGGGCAUAAGGUCCACACCCAAGAACUAGGUAUCUCCCACGAGCAGAGAAAAUAAGACCGCUUGUCACAAUUACACGUUAUUACAAAGGGCUACAUGCUCAGCUUAUGCCAUAGUAGAAUAGUGCAGAUCAGAUGGUUCUGGUACAUGGUUAGGUAAUAAGGUGUCGAGUCAGGUUUGGGCUUAGGGUCAGGGUCUGGGGUUAGGGGUUUGGGGUCAGGGUCAGGGUUAAGUUUAAACAUAACUGGUCCUCUUCCCUUCCUCCAUCUCCCUGGGCCUCCAGGGUGGACAGGACUUGCCCAGGGUUACACAUGAGUCCAGGAUUGAGCUGAAGCAUUGGUUUUCUGCCUUCAGUCCUGGGCUCUAAUAGAAGAGUGAAAUGUCUCCCUGGUCACCGACUGUUUCAAAUCCAACCCAACCCCAGUCAAGGGUUGUGGAGGGUGUCGGAGGUCAUGUAUUGUUCUUUCCACUUUCCCACCAGGGAAGAGUGCUGCUGGCUCCAUUCUGCCUGGGCAGCUCCAGGUGCCAGCACAGCCCUGACCUGUGAGGGCACUCAGUAGACACAUGUGGAUUUAUACAGGACCAGGUGCAGGGGCCCAGCAGUCCCCAUGCGCACCCUUCUUGCAGACUGGUGGGGCCUUCCUGGCACCGUUCACUUGGAGGCACCACAGUUUGCUUAUGGAUUCAUCUAUUGAAGGACACCCUGAUUUCUUCAAUUUUUUAGCUAUGAUGAAUAGAGCUACUGUGCAUCAUUGCAUGCUAGUUUUUGUGUGGAAACAGUGUGUAUCCCCAGCAUGAAGAAGUGUUCCUGUCAUUCCUCACCCUUCAGCAACUGGUAUCCUCAUUUUCUGGACUUUAGCAUUUCUAAUCGGUGGGCUGCACUAACUCACUUUUGUUUAAAUUGGUAACUUCCUAAUGAUAGAGGAUGUAGAGCGUAUUUUUGUAUGCUUAUUUAUUAUCUGUACAUCAUUUUGGCCAGGUGUCUGUGCAGAUAUUUGCCCAUUGUGAAUUAGGUUAUUUGUGUUCUUACUGUUGAGUUCUGAGAGUUUUUUGUCUAGUUUGAAUACAGAUCCUUUAUCAGAUGUGUGUGUUGCAAAUAUUUUCUCACAGUUUGUGGAUUGUCUUUUAGUUCUCCGAGCAAGGUCUUUCACAGAGUAGAAGUUUUAACUUUAUAAAGUUCACAUUAUCAAUUUGUUUCUUUUCUGGAUCGGUGUUUGGUGUUGUGUGUUAACACUCAUCAGCAAACUCAAGGUCAUGUAGAUUUUCUUUUAUGUUUUCUUUUUGAUAUUUUGAUAGCUGUGUUUCUUAAAUUUAUGUACAAUUUUGAGUGAAUUUUGGUGGAAGUUGUAAAGGUUUUGUCUACAUUUCAUUUCAUAUCUUAUGGUUUCCAAUUCAUUGUUCCUUAAUUAUUCCUGGAGAAACCGGGGUAAUGUAGUCCAUUUCAGUUGGAAAUUUCCAAGGUUUUAUUGGGUUCAGCUGGAUCUGGGAAGGGGCCAGGUGCGUCUCGGGAACUGAGUGCCCCGCCUCCUGCACGGCCUCCUGCACGGCCUGCGCCGCCCGCAGGGGGCGCCCGAGCUCAGCUCCCUGACCCGGGCAGGGCAUGCGCGCUCAGCCUGCCUUGUCUGCCUGCGGAACUGGAGCCGCCCCCAGUGUGGACAGUCCGAGAGAAAAUGGUGCCGCGACCACGCCACAGGACCCCGGCCUCCUCAGUACGCUCUGUGGACAUUACCCGAGGACAUGGGGCCGCGGCCACGCCGCCGGGACCCGCCGCGGAGAAUUGGGGAGGACGCGGGGCCGCGGCCACGCCGCCGGGACGCGCUUGGAGGACGUAGGCCCUUAUCCACACCGACAGGAGCCCGGCCUCCUCGGGACCGCACGUGGGAGAAGGAGCAGGAUCUGUGGACUCCAGGGGUGAUGUGAGAAACCUCAGAAGCCUCCCUUGUCCGUGUUUCCCUCUUCUGUCCUGGUGCUCCAUUCUUUCCUAAGGCCUUGUCACCCGGACCAGAGCAGUGAAUCUGUAACCUCUUCCAAAGGGAGACCCGGAGGCUGCAACAAGGAGGGUCUUGGCCUUGGUUCCCAGACUAGUGGUCAGUGCUCUGCCACGUUCUGCGUACCCAGGUCCUCAGCCCCCCAAGCCCCCAGUCUGUCCCCUGCUCAGAAGGACCUCGAGGGAGUACAAAGCAUUUUCCCAGGACUGGGAGCACAGUGGGUCGGGGAUGGAGAUCCAAGGCCAACAGGCUCUUCCACAAGCCGGUGGGACCCUAGGGACACUGCAUCUCUACAGCCCAAGUGACAGAAGAGUAAGCUGAGGCCUUUGUGCUGUAGCCCCUCUGGACUUGGGGGUGGGUAUCUCUUCCUGCUUCCAAGUGCCCAGGCUGGUGAUGGACACCGGAACCCAGACCCUGUCCUCUCCCAGUGCCCUGGCAACCCCCCUGGGCCCCUUGGGGACCCCUGACCCUCAGCCUGGCCUGUCUCCCCUCCCCAUGCUAUGGAUCUGGGUCCUUGCCAGGAGUCCUGAUGCCCUGCCCCAUGGCCCAGCUGUCUCCAACCUCAUUCUUUCUCCCUUGUGACCCACCUCGCUCCCAGGGUGUCCUCCCCUUCUGACCCCCAGCUGGGCAGUCAGAGUGGUGUGUGUGUGUGUGUGGGGGUGUGUGUGUGGGGGGUGGGUGUGCAGGUGCACAUGCCUCUACGUGCCUGGGGAUGCCAAGGUCAUGUCCCCACAUGGGACGGGGUGGGUAGCUCUUCCUGAGGAUCUGAGGGGCUCUCACCCCCAAAGCGAACCUCAUGGGAGGGUUGGGACUGGCCUAGGACUGGAGAGCAGCUCCUUGGACUCUGCACCCCUCAGUUGUCCUGGGCCAGUCCCUGCCUCUCUUGACCCAGGUUCCCAACUGUCCCUGAGGGUCGGACAUGGAAAGGCUUGAACGUGGCUGCUCUUCCAGGGGUAGGUGGGGGACAGGUGCACCAGGCACGCAGGCCUCCCCACCGAGAGGGCCAGCCAGGUGUGUCAUGGCCAGGUGUGCACAGACGACCUGCCCUCAGCUCCUGUACCAUGACCCAGCCCUGCGGCAGAUGUGCACGAGACCCAUGGCUCCGCACCUGACCGGUCCCCCGCGUUCCCUCACCACCUCGGAGACAAGGGCUCUUCUUCGUCCUAGGGCCCGUCAUCCUUCGGACAAUGAGAGCAGAGGGAUCCGUAUCUAGAGGAGGCCGGCAGGGCGUCCCACGGAACGUUGUGUGCCCAUCUCUGCUUUGUCGUCUAGGCUUACCGGCGGACCCCCACCUAGAAAGAGGCCCGCGGGGCAGGGACAUUUGUCUGCCCUGUUCCCUGAAUUAUGGAAAAUGUCUAGAAGGGGCUUCCUGUCCAUUUGUGGAGUCAAUGAAGCCCAGCCAGCACCUUUCAGAUGUCUGAGUGGCUCUGGGGCCCCUCUGCCAGCCCCCAGGGAUCCCUGCUCUGGCUCCACCCAGGAUGGGAGCCCCAGAUGGAAUCUGAAACCUCCUCACAGCCAGGAAUGCGGCUUUGCCCCGGACACAGGACACCGAGGCUUGGGGCAGAGAGCUCCUUCACGGUGGAGAGGAACCGCCUCAGCCCCAGGCCACCCUCCCCGUGGGCCGGCCACAGGGUCGGGGAGCGGUCCCACCAGGCCCAACGGCAACCCCGUGUGUGGGGCCUGGCCUCGUGGCACACAGGGUCCCCAGGAGACACCUGAGGUUCGGAGAGGGGACGUGCCAGGCCCGAGACACACAGCCCGCAGGUGAGGGGGAGCCUCCGGGCGGGACGGGGGGCCCUGCUCACCUUUGUGAGCAGCAGGUGUGGGAAGGGCUGAGGAGGCGUUCCUCUGGGAGGUGCUCCGGGAGAGGGGCCACAGGAGAGGGCCUGGCCCGGCUCCACCAGCUUCCUCAGGCUGUCAGCACGGACCGCCCACAGCCUCUGGCUCGCCCCCAGCGGCAGGGCCCACUCAGGUUCACGGUGGGGCUGAUCUUUGGAUAAAGGAGGGACAAUUCACAACACAGAAACUGCAAAACUAUUCCUGUCCGUGUCCUGAAGUGCAACAGAAUAUCCAAAUUGGUUCGGAUCAUCGUC